CUAAAGGAGUUUUUAAACUCCAACAACUAAAGCAAAAAAUAAAGG
Molecule: non-coding RNA, 45 nt
Organism: Equus caballus (horse)
Lineage: Eukaryota; Metazoa; Chordata; Mammalia; Perissodactyla; Equidae
Source: Rfam